This 17-nucleotide unclassified non-coding RNA is filed under the name Mus musculus (house mouse). RNAcentral's name for it is "oocyte_clustered_small_RNA10915". Lineage: Eukaryota; Metazoa; Chordata; Mammalia; Rodentia; Muridae. The record is from RNAcentral.
GUGGGGCGAUGGGAGAC